AGUUAAUACAGAUGAUGCAUGGUUAGAUGGAAGAUGAUCCCACAAAGAAUGUCUGAAGCACAGACAUGCUAGUGUUCCAGAUAGAGUAAUGCAGUGAUAAAAUUGGAAUAAGUUAGUUAAAUACUACAUUUAAGGAUUCUAAUGAAAUCAAUAUGUAGCUAAUUAUUAAGCAAUUACACAUAAAACAAUAAUUAGUCAGAGGUCCACAAAGUACAAUGCUUUCAGAGCUUCCCUCCAAAACUACCAGAGACUCAAAUGUUGAAGGAUGAGAAGAACCACAAGUACAGAUGGCCUCCAAAAGUCUUGUCAAAUACAUUAAAAUAUAUAAUCUACCCUGUCA
RNAcentral lists this unclassified non-coding RNA (340 nucleotides) under Hevea brasiliensis (rubber tree). The record is from RNAcentral. Lineage: Eukaryota; Viridiplantae; Streptophyta; Magnoliopsida; Malpighiales; Euphorbiaceae.